This 1288-nucleotide long non-coding RNA is filed under the name Malus domestica (apple). Its description in RNAcentral is "long non-coding RNA (MDOM_LNC009704)". Lineage: Eukaryota; Viridiplantae; Streptophyta; Magnoliopsida; Rosales; Rosaceae. The record is from RNAcentral.
GGCAAGAUUGCUUCUUCGAAGUUUGAUUUAUAGAGCAAUAAGUGGAAGAAGUUUGGUAGGAGGAACAAACUAAAACAGCCACAGCCAAAUGACUCUUGACAAAGAUUGUACAUACAUUCACAGCCAUAGUAUCUAAGAACACUCCACAGAAUGCUCAAGCCGCACCGCACCGCACCGCACCGAUGAACCGAACCAGCUUUUCAGAGACGUGACAUCUGCAUUUAUCAGUAGAUCGUGGAUCAGUAACUUUAACAAGAAGUGUUGGAAAACAAUCAAAACGCAACAGCGCUCCGUUUGUCUUCCUCACAGAUGCAGACAUCUAAUUCUUGUCAGGGCUCGUCUUGAAGUACUUCUCUAGAAAGCGCCUUGAAUGUUUUAUGGCUUGUUUGGAUGUGCUUUUAAAAUAAUUGAAGAAAAAGUUAUUUGAUUCCAAAAGCCUUAAAGUGCUUCCUGAAAGAAUCACAUAAUUUUCAGAAUUUCCUUGUAUUUUUACUAAGAAUUGGUUCUAAAUACAUUUCUAUCAAACCGCUUUCAUCCAAACGAGCUCUUAAUAUAAGUUACAAGUGCUUUCUACGAAGUGUUUCUGCAUGAACAAGCUAGGUGUUUUUACGGAAAUAGAUUGCCAAAGUGCUUUUGGUUAUCUGAAAACGGUAGCUUAACAUUCAGCUAGAUUAUACCACUAACAAUAGCUUAAUAUUUUAGUCCAAUUUACCCCAAAUGAGUCACAAUCCAACAAUUCAAACCACCGAAUUUCCCAAAAAUAUCAUAUCCAAUCCGAGUCCCGACCUAUUGAUUUAAAAUUAAAAUUACCCAAAAUUGAAAUUGAAAUUACACAGAGGAAGACAAGCUCACCAGGAACUGGGGGAGAGGUGAGGCUCAUGGGCGUCGAGCUUCCUCGGAUUUGUCGGGAGGAGGAGGAGGAUCGUCGUGGCGGCCGACGGAGGGCAGAGGAUUACCGCCCUUGAUGAACCAACCGAGGGCGAAAAAGGAAGCUCCAGCGAGAAUGGCGGUGCCCCAGGCGUGAGAGUACCAUUUGCUGUACUGCCUGAUGGCGAACUUCCACUGCUCACGAAGCGUCGCCGCGUCUGGGAUUUCAGGGUCGGGCGGGUUCGGGAAGCGGACCUUUUGGCCCGAGAAACUACUGCUGGGUUUGCUAGUAUGGGCGUUGUGGUUAAUCUCGGAAGGAGGAACGUUUUGAGGUGUAUCGGGUUUGGGUUCAGUCAUGGCUGCUGAGUCGGUUUUGUUUGUGUUUCUGGCUUUGCCCAGGAGGGAAGAGUGCUUUUUCUGU